UUUAUUCUACAAUUGAGUAGUUCAUAUUUUUAUUCAUCAUAUACCAAUAAAAACAGCUCAAUCAAAGAUCCCUAUAUUCGUGUGUCAGGGGAUGUCUCAACUAAAAGACACAUAGCCCAUAAGGAAGGAAGUAAGGGACGGGCAGGGGAUGUCGCUAUGGCUUGCCAUUCUAGUUCUUCAAACUUACAGUGCAGAAUCUGCAUAAGAGAAGGAAAGAAUGGAAUGCAAAAUCAUUAUUCCAUUAAGAUUUGGUCAUGCGAAACCUAUGUUUCACAUGAAAUAUAUCACCACCCAAACACUCCCUUUAAAACAAUUGCCGUCCAGUACAUUAAAGGGUGAUUAUGAAAUAGAAUCAUAGUUUUAUCUUUGGGGUUGGGACUUUGUGCUCCUAAAACACACAAAAACUUUAAGACAAAGCUUAAGAUCUAAGAAAAAUUUCAGUAUAUUUUAGCAAAAGGUGCUCUCACACACACCGGAAUUAGUUUUGUUUAGAAUUGGUUGGAAGACUACAAAAGUUUUUGGAACGUUGUGCAGACUUUAAGAAUAUUUCCAUGAUUUAUGACAUGAAUUUUUCCCUCUCUGUGAAUAAUUAAAAGUACAAUCCUGUUAUAAUUCGAACCAGACCUAAAACCACUUUGGUGAAAGCGAAACAUCUACAAUACCAAUUUGUUGCGAAUCCCACCAAAUAAUAAAAGAACGAAAAAAUAUGGAUAAUAUAAAAAUAAUCGAUUACAAAGAAAACAAAAUUUACAUGGAAACCCAAAUCUGGAAAAAACCACGGGCAAAGACAAGGAAUUCACUAUAAUCAAUAGCAAGGAGUUACAAAUGAUCUCUUUGGAUCAAUAACUAAUCGGACAAUUGGUUAAUUUCAAUAUAUGUUGUAAACCACAUAUUUGUAAUCAAAGAAUCACUUACAUACUAGUAGAAUUAAUACACGAAGAGUUAAAUAUAGAGUGGAAUCUAAAUACAAUGGGAAAAACCAAUAAUGGAGAAUUUGGGAUGAAAUAGGAGUCAACUUCACAUGAGACUCCUUCAAGGCAUCUUUAAGUCUUCUACCAACUUCCAAUAUUGCUCCAACUAUAUUUCCAAUCAAAUACUCGACAACAAUACGAUCACAAUCCAAUCCUAACAAACUCCACCUUGACACCAAUUUUAUUGUAAGGAAUAAAGCUUAACUCUUCAACUCCAACAAAAUUCUCCAAACAAAACACUCCACCAAAUUACUCUACCUCUUCCACCACCCCCCUCCAGGCAAACCCGACAACUAUGAACUGAAUCCAAGCCUUGCUUACCGGCAAAACUACCUUGGGCACCAACAUUGCUUGAAUCGUCCCAUUCACCUCCAGCUCCAGUGGAGUCACCAAGACUGCUAGAAUCACCAUGAACACUUCUAGCUCCACCUGAGUUAUCAAACCUUCUCAAAUCACCAUGAGCAAUAUGACCAACAAGAUCACAACUAGCUCCACCUGAACUGCUAGAAAAUUCCCCAAUAUUAUUGUUAGAAUCAUCAUGAACAAACCGAUCACAACUGACUCCACCCGAGUCACCGCUUAUCAAACAUAAGCUACAACUGCAUUUACAGUGACCACCGAACCUUCCAAAGUAUAUAACCGAUCCUUACAUUGCUUCCUCUCUAGCAUCCAUACAAAACAAAAAAAAUC
This 1661-nucleotide long non-coding RNA is filed under the name Olea europaea (common olive). RNAcentral describes it as "long non-coding RNA (OEUR_LNC011479)". Lineage: Eukaryota; Viridiplantae; Streptophyta; Magnoliopsida; Lamiales; Oleaceae. The record is from RNAcentral.